UACCGUAGGGAGCGAGCGUUAUCCGGAUUACUGGGGGGUAAGGAGCAGGUAGGGGGUUCUGUAAGCGUGUGGUAAAGGCCUGGGGCCCAACUCCGGUAUGCCUUUCGACCUGCAAGCAUUGGGGGCUGGAGGGGAGAGUGGAAUUCCUGGGGAACGGGGGAAUUGCGUAGAUAUGAGGAGGAACACCAGUGGCGAAGGCGACUUUCUGGACAGUAACUGACGCUGAGGUACGAAAGCGUGGGGAGCAAACAGGAUUAGAUACCCUGGUAGUCCACGCUGUAAACGAUGAGCACUAGGUGUCGGGCUAGCAAUAGUUCGGUGCCGCAGUUAACGCAAUAAGUGCUCCGCCUGGGGAGUACGAUCGCAAGUGUGAAACUCAAAGGAAUUGACGGGG
Molecule: ribosomal RNA, 394 nt
Filed under: uncultured bacterium
Lineage: Bacteria
Description: partial 16S ribosomal RNA
Rfam family: Bacterial small subunit ribosomal RNA
Source: RNAcentral